RNAcentral lists this long non-coding RNA (215 nucleotides) under Chrysolophus pictus (golden pheasant). RNAcentral's name for it is "lncRNA (ENSCPIG00010009923.1)". The record is from RNAcentral. Lineage: Eukaryota; Metazoa; Chordata; Aves; Galliformes; Phasianidae.
AUGGGAUAUGAGAUGGGAGAGACCUCAUGGACUGGGGUGGAAAUGGAAAGAGAGCCCUGAGCACUUUGGGAGGCACUGGGAGGGACCCCUGGGCACCAAGGUGGCAACGGGAGCGAAGUCUGGAGAUGGGAAGGGCGAUGGGAGAGAGCCCUGGGAAUGGGGGAAGGAACGGGAGAGAGGCCUGGGGGAAAAGGGGGGGAUGGGUGGGGGUGGGG